UAACGGAGGGUGCGAGCGUUGUCCGGAAUCACUGGGCGGUAAAGGGCGCGUAGGCGGCCUGAUAAGUAAGGGGGUGAAAUCCUGCGGCUUAACCGCAGGGCCUGCCUUCUAAACUGUCAGGCUGGAGCACAGUAGAGGCAGGUGGAAUUCCCGGUGUAGCGGUGGAAUGCGUAGAGAUCGGGAAGAACAUCAGUGGCGAAGGCGGCUUUCUGGCCUGCUCUGACGCUGAGGCGCGAAAGCUAAGGGUAGCAACGGGAGU
RNAcentral lists this ribosomal RNA (259 nucleotides) under uncultured bacterium. Its description in RNAcentral is "partial 16S ribosomal RNA". It matches the Rfam family "Bacterial small subunit ribosomal RNA", at positions 523 to 779 of the family's 1533-position model. The record is from RNAcentral.